Molecule: non-coding RNA, 512 nt
Organism: Phascolarctos cinereus (koala)
Lineage: Eukaryota; Metazoa; Chordata; Mammalia; Diprotodontia; Phascolarctidae
Source: RefSeq, a predicted model, not a curated record
UCACUUCUCUUCCUUCACAUCCAGAACCACUGAUUGUCUGGGUCACUCACUCAAAGUCGGUAGUAACUAAUUGGCUCUUAAAUAGUGGAGUGGGCAUUGAGCUGCAGAAUGCAAUCACAUCAUACUUUACACUAACAACCCUUGAGCUGUUAUACAUGUGUUAUUUAGAGAAAUGGAUAUAUCUCUGGGAACCACAAGCCUACAGUUUAUGAGAGUAAGCAAACAAGCCAAGAAUUGAGAAAAAACAAAAGAAGAGUUCUUCAGUAACAUUUGGGUCAAGAAAAACAAGAGAGGAAGCCGGACUCAGUGGAGAGAAGACGACCUGAUUUCCAGUCCAGACAUUGAUACAUUCAAGCUGCGUGUACAGGAGCAAAUCACUCAAUCUCUCAGUGUCCUCAGAAAGACAAACAAGCAUUUAUUAGGGCACUUAAUAUGUUCUAGAUCAGAAAAGUUAAACUCCCUGCAAAAUACCCAAGUGCAGGCCAGAAUGACAUCAAAAUGUAAUUGGGAAA